This 31-nucleotide non-coding RNA is filed under the name Mus musculus (house mouse). The record is from RNAcentral. Lineage: Eukaryota; Metazoa; Chordata; Mammalia; Rodentia; Muridae.
CCAAGCAUGGAAGCCUACAAAGGUUAAAUUG